GGCCUCUGUUGCUGCCUCUGCCUGCCUGCAUGAGCCCCGGCUCGGCUAAUCAUCUGCUGACGGAACCGGAAUAUCGUCCCAGCGCUUAUGGCGGAGUUGUGGUGGUGCUGGACCAGAGGAGGCUGCAGAUGCGUGCUAGAGUUCGUGGCUGAGUACCAGGAGUAGUUUGCCAGAAACGACGAAGGCGCAGUCGUGUUGGGAGGGCUGCUGCUCUGAGGCCUAAUGAAGGAAUCCCCAGAAUUCCCUGUGUCAUCUGCGUGGCCUGCCUGAGAAAGAAUUCAGAGAGGUCUGCGAGGUCCCGCUCCCUUCAUUGUUGAUUCAGCGGCACCCCCCCCCCCCCCCCCCCCAAGCAGCCAUAAAUGGAAGCGUCCCAUUGUGCAAGGGGAGUGGAGCAGAUUUACUGCGGAUGGUCUCUCUACAAAAGACCACGCCACUGUCACAACAGGACCAGGAUCAGCUGUGACUGCUUUCACACAGUAUGAUUUAACGCUGUGCUUCACACAGCCACUGAUGCAGACACAGCUUCCACAGGCACUCAGCAUCCACACUAUCCAUCUUUUCUACAUCUGAAUACAGCCAAACUUAUUUUAUUUAUAUUUUAACUAGUACCACUCUCAGCAUUCCUAACUCCUCCUUAAUCUCCUCCUUAAGUGCCUCUGUGGGCUGUAUGAAUGUCAUUAUCAAUAAGAGUGGGCCUAGAUUUACAGUAUCAGAGAAGUCUUGAAUUUAAAGUAAAACAACAUCCAUCUGUUUACUUUGCAUUGUUGUCAUCACUUGGCACACCAGCAAAUUGCCUAUGUCAGCUGUGCAUUUUGGGCAUGCUUCCAUGCCUCCCUGAUACAUAAGUUGUGGGUUUGGUUUCCUCCACCAGCAUCUGUUAUGUUGACUGUGAAACUGGCCCUUCAGUAUCAAUAGGAUUUAAGUUUCAGAGCUUCUAAAACCAAACAAUUUCAGUGAAUGAAGAAGGUGGUAAAUCUGCAUAAUCCAACCAUUAACAAUAAAUGGACAUUUGCUUCUCUGAGCAAAGCCUGCAUGCACAAAUUAAAUUAUUUCAAAUGGAAAGUUCUG
Lates calcarifer (barramundi perch) is the source of this 1068-nucleotide long non-coding RNA. RefSeq lists it as uncharacterized. The transcript is spliced from 3 exons. NCBI's taxonomy places the organism in Eukaryota, Metazoa, Chordata, Actinopteri, Centropomidae. The record is from RefSeq and is a predicted model, not a curated record.